RNAcentral lists this ribosomal RNA (305 nucleotides) under uncultured bacterium. Its description in RNAcentral is "bacterial SSU rRNA". It matches the Rfam family "Bacterial small subunit ribosomal RNA", at positions 339 to 636 of the family's 1533-position model. The record is from RNAcentral.
CUACGGGAGGCAGCAGUUAGGAAUAUUCGUCAAUGGGGGAAACCCUGAACGAGCAAUGCCGCGUGAAGGAUGACGGUCCUAUGGAUUGUAAACUUCUGUUGUUAGGGAAGAACGACCUAAGUAGGAAAUGACUUAGGAGUGACGGUACCUUUCAAGAAAGCUCCGGCUAACUACGUGCCAGCAGCCGCGGUAAUACGUAGGGAGCGAGCGUUGUCCGGAAUUACUGGGUGUAAAGGGAGCGUAGGCGGGACUGCAAGUUGGGUGUCAAAUCUACCGGCUCAACCGGUAGCCGCACUCAAAACUGC